UCCUACUCGUGUGAGUUUCGUACGUAGUUCGGUUCUGUUGGUGGCGAACUAUAAUAAACGGUGGUCGUCCUCGUCUCCUUGCUGUAGCCAUUUUCGGCGAUUCAAAGCGCAAAACCAUCGCAAUCCUUUCAGAUUUCGUGUUCUGAUCUGCAAUUUCGAGUUGUGGAAGAUAUGAAUUGGGUUCAGCGCAAGAUUUACCUUUACAAUGUGACUUUUGGGCUUUAUAUGUUGGAUUGGUGGGAGCGUUGUACUUUCAGUAUCCUUUAUUGCACUCUCUUCUUCAUGGAUUUUAACUCCUUUAUGUGUCUUUUACUUUGUAUUAUCCUGAAAUGCAAAAUUUUGAUCGUUUCUAUAUAUUUAUGUGCGGGUUUUCUUUAAAUUGUGAAACUGAAAUUCAUUAAUUGUUGGGAACUAAGGUAGUCUGAACAGUAGUGAUUUAGGUAUACUCUGGUUUGAAAGACAAUUGAAACCAUAUUAGAGAAUUUUGACAAAAAUGCCAAAGAAUUUCUUGAAUACAUAUGCUAUCAUGUCUGUUUUGAUACUGCUUGGAAGAGUUCCUAAACUUUUGCAGAUAUUUUGGUGAUUGUGUUAAUGUGGUUUGUAAUACGAUAUGUUACUCAAUUCUUCAAGAGGUAUGUUUGGUAAGAAGCAAAACGAUUCUCAGGGGAAGAUACCAAUUUAGAUUGUUAUUUGGGGAUCUAAAUUAGUUGCAGCCGGUGUAUUUGGUAUAGCUGACUAGGGAAUAUCUUUUAGCAGUUUGAUUUAGACUGACUUGGAAUUUCUUUAAGCUACCCAAAAUUGCUCUUCUCACACAUUCUAUACACCGUCAUAACUCUUAUUUGAACAUUUCUUUGCUUAUAAGUUUGUAUGGGAUGCCAAUUGCCAUUCUUUACAUUGUAAUAAUUAUUGGGAUUGGGAAUGUUCACUACUAAGCGUUUUGAUUUUUGAACAGUUUCAAGCGUUAAUGAACUAGCUUCAAUG
Long non-coding RNA from Abrus precatorius (Indian licorice), 981 nucleotides. RefSeq lists it as uncharacterized. The transcript is spliced from 3 exons. The record is from RefSeq and is a predicted model, not a curated record. Lineage: Eukaryota; Viridiplantae; Streptophyta; Magnoliopsida; Fabales; Fabaceae.